Molecule: ribosomal RNA, 429 nt
Filed under: Chloroflexota bacterium
Lineage: Bacteria; Bacillati; Chloroflexota
Description: Chloroflexi bacterium partial 16S ribosomal RNA
Rfam family: Bacterial small subunit ribosomal RNA
Source: RNAcentral
UGGGGAAUAUUGCACAAUGGGCGCAAGCCUGAUGCAGCCAUGCCGCGUGUAUGAAGAAGGCCUUCGGGUUGUAAAGUACUUUCAGUCGGGAGGAAGGUGGUAAGGUUAAUAACCUUAUCAAUUGACGUUACCGACAGAAGAAGCACCGGCUAACUCCGUGCCAGCAGCCGCGGUAAUACGGAGGGUGCAAGCGUUAAUCGGAAUUACUGGGCGUAAAGCGCACGCAGGCGGUUGAUUGAGUCAGAUGUGAAAUCCCCGGGCUUAACCCGGGAAUUGCAUCUGAUACUGGUCAGCUAGAGUCUUGUAGAGGGGGGUAGAAUUCCAUGUGUAGCGGUGAAACGCGUAGAGAUGUGGAGGAAUACCGGUGGCGAAGGCGGCCCCCUGGACAAAGACUGACGCUCAGGUGCGAAAGCGUGGGGAGCAAACAGG